UACAGAGGCCACGAGCGUUAGGCGGAAUCACUGGGCUUAAAGCGUGUGUAGGUGGAUGAUUAAGUACCUUGUGAAAUCCCACGGCUCAACCGUGGAACUGCUUGGUAUACUGGUUGUCUUGAGGCACUCAGGGGCGAGCGGAACAGAUGGUGGAGCGGUGAAAUGCGUAGAUAUCAUCUGGAACGCCAAUGGUGAAGACAGCUCGCUGGGGGUGUACUGACACUGAGACACGAAAGCCAGGGGAGCAAACGGG
RNAcentral lists this ribosomal RNA (253 nucleotides) under uncultured bacterium. Its description in RNAcentral is "partial 16S ribosomal RNA". It matches the Rfam family "Bacterial small subunit ribosomal RNA", at positions 524 to 776 of the family's 1533-position model. The record is from RNAcentral.